GACAGAGGGUGCAAACGUUGUUCGGAAUUACUGGGCGUAAAGCGCGUGUAGGCGGCAACGCAAGUCGGAUGUGAAAUCCCAUGGCUCAACCAUGGAAGUGCACCCGAAACUGCGUCGCUAGAGUCCUGGAGAGGAAGGUGGAAUGCUUGGUGUAGAGGUGAAAUUCGUAGAUAUCAAGCGGAACACCGGUGGCGAAGGCGGCCUUCUGGACAGUGACUGACGCUGAGACGCGAAAGCGUGGGGAGCAAACGGG
RNAcentral lists this ribosomal RNA (253 nucleotides) under uncultured bacterium. RNAcentral's name for it is "partial 16S ribosomal RNA". It matches the Rfam family "Bacterial small subunit ribosomal RNA", at positions 524 to 776 of the family's 1533-position model. The record is from RNAcentral.